ACUCCUACGGGAGGCAGCAGUAAGGAAUAUUGGACAAUGGACGCAAGUCUGAUCCAGCCAUGCCGCGUGAAGGAUGAAUGCCCUCUGGGUUGUAAACUUCUUUUACAGGGGAAGAAAGUUAUCUUUUUUAGGAUAUUUGACGGUACCCUAUGAAUAAGCACCGGCUAACUCCGUGCCAGCAGCCGCGGUAAU
RNAcentral lists this ribosomal RNA (192 nucleotides) under uncultured bacterium. Its description in RNAcentral is "partial 16S ribosomal RNA". It matches the Rfam family "Bacterial small subunit ribosomal RNA", at positions 335 to 524 of the family's 1533-position model. The record is from RNAcentral.